UGACCUCGGAUCAGGUAGGGAUACCCGCUGAACUUAAGCAUAUCAAUAAGCGGAGGAAAAGAAACCAACAGGGAUUGCCCCAGUAACGGCGAGUGAAGCGGCAAGAGCUCAAAUUUGAAAGCUGGCCCCCUCGGGGUCCGCAUUGUAAUUUGCAGAGGAUGCUUCGGAGGCAGCCCCCGUCUAAGUACCCUGGAACGGGUCGUCAUAGAGGGUGAGAAUCCCGUACGGGACGGGGUGUCUGCCACCGUGUGAAGCUCCUUCGACGAGUCGAGUUGUUUGGGAAUGCAGCUCUAAAUGGGUGGUAAAUUUCAUCUAAAGCUAAAUAUUGGCCGGAGACCGAUAGCGCACAAGUAGAGUGAUCGAAAGAUGAAAAGCACUUUGAAAAGAGAGUUAAAAAGCACGUGAAAUUGUUGAAAGGGAAGCGCUUGCGACCAGACUCGCCCACGGGGUUCAGCCGGCAUUCGUGCCGGUGUACUUCCCCGCGGGCGGGCCAGCGUCGGUUUGGGCGGCCGGUCAAAGGCCCUCGGAAUGUAACGCCCCCCGGGGCGUCUUAUAGCCGAGGGUGCCAUGCGGNCUGCCCGGACCGAGGAACGCGCUUCGGCUCG
RNAcentral lists this ribosomal RNA (605 nucleotides) under Penicillium cvjetkovicii. RNAcentral describes it as "LSU rRNA". It matches the Rfam family "Eukaryotic large subunit ribosomal RNA", at positions 1 to 609 of the family's 3401-position model. The record is from RNAcentral. Lineage: Eukaryota; Fungi; Ascomycota; Eurotiomycetes; Eurotiales; Aspergillaceae.